Molecule: ribosomal RNA, 484 nt
Filed under: uncultured bacterium
Lineage: Bacteria
Description: partial 16S ribosomal RNA
Rfam family: Bacterial small subunit ribosomal RNA
Source: RNAcentral
AUUGAACGCUGGCGGCAUGCUUUACACAUGCAAGUCGAACGGCAGCGCGGGCUUCGGCCUGGCGGCGAGUGGCGAACGGGUGAGUAAUACAUCGGAACGUGCCCAGUCGUGGGGUAUAGCUCGGCGAACGCCGGGUUAAUACCGCAUACGACCUGAGGGUGAAAGCGGGGGAUCUUCGGACCCCGCGCUAUUGGAGCGGCCGAUGGCAGAUUAGCUAGUUGGUGGGGUAAAGGCCUACCAAGGCGACGAUCGGUAGCUGGUCUGAGAGGACGACCAGCCACACUGGGACUGAGACACGGCCCAGACUCCUACGGGAGGCAGCAGUGGGGAAUUUUGGACAAUGGGCGAAAGCCUGAUCCAGCAAUGCCGCGUGUGUGAUGAAGGCCUUCGGGUUGUAAAGCACUUUUGGCGGGAACGAAAAGGACUGUGCCAAUACCACGGUUCGAUGACGGUACCCGCAGAAUAAGCACCGGCUAACUACGUG